UUUAAAGAGAGUUUGAUCCUGGCUCAGGACGAACGCUGGCGGCGUGCCUAAUACAUGCAAGUCGAACGAACGGAGGAAGAGCUUGCUCUUCCAAAGUUAGUGGCGGACGGGUGAGUAACACGUGGGCAACCUGCCUGUAAGUUGGGGAUAACUCCGGGAAACCGGGGCUAAUACCGAAUGAUAAAGUGUGGCGCAUGCCACGCUUUUGAAAGAUGGUUUCGGCUAUCGCUUACAGAUGGGCCCGCGGUGCAUUAGCUAGUUGGUAGGGUAAUGGCCUACCAAGGCAACGAUGCAUAGCCGACCUGAGAGGGUGAU
Molecule: ribosomal RNA, 315 nt
Filed under: Listeria monocytogenes
Lineage: Bacteria; Bacillati; Bacillota; Bacilli; Caryophanales; Listeriaceae
Description: bacterial SSU rRNA
Rfam family: Bacterial small subunit ribosomal RNA
Source: RNAcentral